This 69-nucleotide non-coding RNA is filed under the name Paraburkholderia unamae. RNAcentral describes it as "Fluoride". It matches the Rfam family "Fluoride riboswitch aptamer (crcB RNA motif)". Lineage: Bacteria; Pseudomonadati; Pseudomonadota; Betaproteobacteria; Burkholderiales; Burkholderiaceae. The record is from RNAcentral.
GAAGUUGCGGGAGAUGGCAUACCUCCUCAAACCGCCGGUUUUCGCCCGGCUGAUGAUGCCUACGGUUCC